This 633-nucleotide ribosomal RNA is filed under the name Triticum aestivum (bread wheat). RNAcentral's name for it is "partial small subunit ribosomal RNA". Lineage: Eukaryota; Viridiplantae; Streptophyta; Magnoliopsida; Poales; Poaceae. The record is from RNAcentral.
AUGGCGGAGGCGGGACAGUCGACGGUGUUCGCGGGCGUUGGUGGUGCUCGUCGGAGCGGAGCGGCGUCGCCGGAACGCGUGCGGGUCGAAGGUGGCAACUGCUUACCCAUUGCAUUUUACAUUUUCGCCAUUAACAAUUUGGUCUGUUCCUACAUCAGCAGAAUGGCUCGUGGCGAUCAUCAAAGUGAUGAUGACGAUUUCAUGGAUCCACCUCAACGUAACCAGGCAACUGGACGGAGAAAAGAGGGCGAUGAGAAGAAGAAACGUAUUCGCAACAGAGCCUCCCAGGAACGUCUGACCGUGUUGAUUGACAAAUUCACUGACGAUCAAAAGGGAGCUGCUGCUGAGAUGGGUAUGCAGGUUCUGAUGGAUGUCCGGUGUACGAACCUUGUCAACCCGGUAUGCGAUUGGCUUGGUGAGAUAUACGAUCCCGCCUCCAGGGAAUUCGUGAUCCCGGGACGGGGAAGACUUCCAUUGAAUGAGGAAUCCGUGUUCUGCACUUUGGGUGUGCCUCGGGGACAUAUCAAAGUCCCGUACGAGGUUAAUAAUGAGAUCGAGGAAGAGCUGUUCGCCCGUUUGUUUCCUGGCUUGGAGGCAAUGUCGAACACGUCUGUACUGGCAGAUUCUCUGUAG